AUGGGGAACAAUCUGACGCGCCGUCCCGAACGGAUCUUUGAUGAUGGGCGCGGAGAAGGAAUAGGGACCGUUCUGAUCAAUAGCGGCUGCAAGCCAAGCUUGAUUUGCCAUUGUAAAUUAUCCCGCAACGAUAUUCUGAAGCCGAUUAUUUGGCAGCACAUGGACGACAACGAUUCUCAUCCCCAACCAACCCGCCCCGAAGUAUUUUCAGAUCCAUCAGGCGGCUCCCCCCGAAAGUUAAACCGCAGCAGACAGAUAGCAUCAAAAGAUCCGUUUGGAAUCCUUCCAGAGGAAUUGUUGUGCACUAUCCUGUCAAAACUGGAUCUGAAAGAGGCUGCAAAGACUAGUAUUCUGUCUAGUACAUGGAGGCAUACCUGGAAACAUUAUCCUAAACUAACCUUCGAUAUUUUGACUAUGUGCGGUGGUAAAUACAAGACCAGGGAGCAGCGGCAUAUCCAGACGCCCGAAUGUGUGGACAGGGUGCAUUAUGUCCAGCAAUUCGUCAAUAUUGUGAACACAAUAUUGUACCAGCACCAGGGCAAGACAAUUGAACGGUUUGAGCUCAGAUUGACUGUUGAUGUGCUUGCCCAACUAUUUGAUCAGCUUGAUGAUUGGGUUCGUUAUGCGGUUUCAUCACGGACAAAGAAUCUAAUUCUUCAUGUGUCGCUAACCCCUCUCGACGUGUUCCAUUAUAAACGGUAUGUUUUUCCAGUGCAAUUGUUGGACGCUGGAAGUUGCCUGCAGCAUAUUCAGCUUGCCCAUGUAUUGCUCAAAGUGCCUUCUCAGUUUGUCGGUUUUCCAAAUCUGAGGAGGCUUGGUCUAUACUCCACACGUGUGUCUGCAAGUGAUAUGCAAUGUAUGGUGUCCAAUUGCCCUAAUAUAGAGUGGUUGGAUCUGUUUAUGGUUCAUCUAAACGAUGAACUCAAAGUGGACAGGCCAUUGUCCUGCCUGCUAUACCUUCGUCUGAGUGACUGCAGGGUAACUACGAUAGAACUCAACGCCCCCAAGCUCCAAACCUUUAUAUUCCAAGGGAGGCUGGUGCCUAUUCACCUUGGCGAAUCUUCAGAACUGCACAAUAUUGUUAUUCAUUCUUAUACACUAACACUAGAGCAAGCUAUUUGUUCAUUUGCUGAUGCGUAUCCACUAGUGCAACGCCUGACUCUGUGUCACACUUGUGCACUACCGAAGUUCCCCUGGCGAUUGGACAAUACUUCUAGCUUUUCUCAUUUGAGAUAUUUACAACUGUUGUUGAAUAUCUUCUCUGAACAUGCCAACGACAUUCUCUCUAUUGCAUAUUUUCUAGAGGCUGCUCCAUUCCUUCAGGAGUUUGAUUUGGAGUUUAGAUCAUCAUGCAUGGAUGUUGUUCCGGGGCCUUUAAGGAUCUUCCCAUAUGGGCAAGACAAGUACAAGUAUCUAACGAUCUUUAGAGUUUUUGAAUUUAGAGGCGAAAAGAGCAAAGUUGAACUUAUAGUUCACGUUGUGCAAAAUGCCCCUUCACUUGAGAAUCUAACUAUAGACCCAAGAAGGCAGCAUGUUUUAGAUGAUUCACCUGCUAGUGAAGCUGAAGAAAAACGUCUCUCUGAGAUCCGUCAUAUCGCCAAAAGUUUAAUCGAGUACGAGCUUAAUGAGCAGAGAGCCUCAAGCACGAGCAACCCGUUAAUCUGUCCCAAAUGUAGCCACCGGCUCUCGCCACAUGGUGAUGGCCUCUCUAGGUUGGAUGUUGGAAAGAGCAAACCAUAG
Molecule: ribosomal RNA, 1740 nt
Filed under: Triticum aestivum (bread wheat)
Lineage: Eukaryota; Viridiplantae; Streptophyta; Magnoliopsida; Poales; Poaceae
Description: partial small subunit ribosomal RNA
Source: RNAcentral